Molecule: long non-coding RNA, 362 nt
Organism: Rhipicephalus sanguineus (brown dog tick)
Lineage: Eukaryota; Metazoa; Arthropoda; Arachnida; Ixodida; Ixodidae
Exons: 3
Source: RefSeq, a predicted model, not a curated record
UAUAAAGACGUUGUUUUACCAGACGCUUGUUCUACCCGAGUAAACGUACGAGGAGCGUUACGAUGUCCACUGUGAAGCUUGCGCUCACCCUAAUUUUCUUAACCACAGUCAUGGUGAUGAAUGUCUCAAGUCAGCGCACCCAAACAAGGCCGCAGCCGCAGUGUGUUGGUAAGGUAAGAAACAGUAUACGUCCGUUGCACUCGUUUCGUAAAGUCCAGUUCUUCAUAUACGCCUUGCGACCCAAGGUACUUUCAUGGGACGUGCGGCAGUGAAUGCAAUUGCGAUAACACCACUGUGAAGGGCGAGCGUGGAUACUUCUGUACACAGGCAAUAUUUUAAAUACAACCUACCAUAUGCCACGU